AUACGGAGGAUCCGAGCGUUAUCCGGGUUUAUUGGGUUUAAAGGGUGCGCAGGCGGGAGAUUAAGUCGGCGGUGAAAUUUUUCAGCUCAACUGUAAAAGUGCCUUCGAAACUGGUUUCCUUGAGUGUAGAUGAAGUAGGCGGAAUUUGUGGUGUCGCGGGUAAAUGCAUAGAUAUCACGAGGAACUCCGAUUGCGCAGGCAGCUUACUAAACUACUACUGACGCUCAGGCACGAAGGCGUGGGGAUCAAACAGGAUUAGAUACCCUGGUAGUCCACGCAGUAAACGAUGAUUACUAGCUGUUUGCGAUACAAUGUAAGCGGCUGAGCGAAAGCGUUAAGUAAUCCACCUGGGUAGUACGUUCGCAAGAAUGAAACUCAAAUGAAUUGACGGGG
RNAcentral lists this ribosomal RNA (393 nucleotides) under uncultured bacterium. RNAcentral describes it as "partial 16S ribosomal RNA". It matches the Rfam family "Bacterial small subunit ribosomal RNA", at positions 523 to 918 of the family's 1533-position model. The record is from RNAcentral.